AGUGCCCGGGCCAAUGGGGGGCCCAGAGAGGACUCAGCACCCGCCUCACCCUAACACCAGGCUGGCCUCUUCAGCUCAUAUAAGGUAAAAGGCAGAAGGGCCUCUGCGGCCAGGGAGUGUUGGGCAAGGGUCUAAGAGGAGGGGGACCCGGUGCCAGCGGUUUAAAAAUGCUUCUGUGGCAAUGAGGGCUACCAGAGGCCGGGUCAAGUUAGUUGAGAAGCAGUGACACCCCAACUGUCCCCCAAAUGGGCUGGCCCCCAUCUACGGACUGCAGGGAGCCAUUCCUGGACCAGACCUCCAGAAAGGUAAGGGCACCGGCCAGUGUGAGCCACCACUAGGAUCCUGACGUGGAGGAACAAGCACCGCAGGGAGAGGCCCCCUGAGGACCAGCGGGGCUGGCACCGGCACCGGGGCCUGGAGCAGAACACUUCUCAGUGCUUCCUGGCAGAAGGCAGAGGUUCCCAGGCGCUGCGAGUUCCCUCCAGAGGCUUCCCCCAGGCUGACUGGCCAUUCCCCAGGCUGACCUGCCAGGUAAGAAUCCCAGGCCACCCUCCACAGCCUCCUGUGACAGGAGGUAGGGAGCCACAGAGAGAGGGGCCGCAUCAGUUGGUGACAGGACCUGGGUCUCCUAAGUGACCCCCAUCUUCUGACUGGGAACCCAGAGGAAAGGAGCUUCUUAUGUGGUAAGAGGGUGAGAAGGGCUCCCAAUCCCAUUCUUACGGAGUCCCUCAGUUUCAAAAGACCAGGAGUCAGGGCCUGCCCUGUGAGAACACCAGACCAUAGAAAGUAUUCCCCUGGCCAGAGAGCCAGAAGGUCACCCCUCCUGUACCUCUGCCCCUCCUCUCAGCUGUGCAACCUCCUCCUCCAGGAAGCCCACCCAGCUCUGGAAACAGGAUCUCUUAAUCUAUGCCCUUGGCUUUUUUUUUUUUAAGUUUAUUUAUUUCUAUAAGAACUGGGGUAUAGGCCAGAUGUGUGGGAGGGUGAGAGGAUUCACCAGAGACAGAGCAGGGAACAGAACAGACAGACUAACGGAAAUACACUGCUGAGGAGAGCAGCAGGCCAGACAGGAGAGGUCUGCGCCAUGUGGGAUUCUCUCCGGCUGGCCAGGAUCGAACCCGCGCUGCAGAGGCUGCAUACAGCUUCACAGUGCUGUGCUCAACCACCUGUGCCACCAGGGAGGCCCCUCUUGUUGGUUUGCUCUUGUGCCACUUCGGUCUGCCCCCUAUUCACCUUGCUGGAAGUAUUUCCUUCCUCCUCAGCUGACUGUCUUCCCAGGGCAAGGGCCCUAUCACGGUCAGUUCUGUCUACCCUCAAUGUGCUGGCUUUGCUGAGUGGACAGAUGGAAUUAGACCCUGUCCCAAACAGAAAGGACUGGUAGAUUCGGCAGGGGAUGGACCUGUAGCAAAAAAGGUUAAAAUGAUGGUCGUAGUCGCUUGUUCUGAGUCAGGAAUUCCAUCUUGGCUCCUAACUCUAUGCUUGGAAGAUCCCCUUCUCACAGAACGCUUCAGGGAUGCAGGGGCAGGCACAGUUAAAGCACUCGAUAAAUGACCCUCCUUAGUACUUUCAGCAUCCUGCUGAUUUUUCUAGAUACAAAGGAACAGAACUAGGCACGGGGGGGGGGGGGGAUGGAGCAAAUGCCAUCCCCUAGCCGAAGGCCUCAACUCAGCCCCCUUCCUGGGUCAGCCGCUCCCACAGGAAGGGCCUGCCUCCCAUCGCUUCCAGUUUCUACACCUUGGCAGCAGUAUUUUAAGCCCAGAUAUAUUGGAAACUGGCCUCAGCUCCCCUGGCUGGAGCCAGACUGGGGCCCUGGGACAUCCCCUCCCUUCCCGUGGUGCAGUGGAAGAGAAGGGCGCCAGCACUGCCUGCCCUGGAGGGGCACCACUCCUCGUGGUGGAAGUGCCUGCACCAACUGCUCUGAAGUUUCAUUGGGUACAUUUUCCCCAGCUACAGUUACCCAGCUACCCCCUUUUUAUUUGUUUGCCCUGUCUUCAAGCAGUCACGCUACUUAGACAUUUAAGACGCUGUUUGUAAUGCUGCAAUAUAAAUAGCGACUGUCAGUGAAAAAUUGACACUGUCCAUAAUGAGAAGGAAAAGGUAACGUCAUUCCUCUCGACGCUGGUCCAGCGUGGGGUGUCAGAGUCAGGACCCCUCCAUGCUGGGUGGGGGGUUUUCCCCGAGGAACCAGAGGGGCCAAAAGCAAACUGACAGGCUGUCCUCCAUGUCCCUUGGUGCUAACUCUCUGCUCGCUCCUCGGAAGCCGAAGGCGGAGCGAUGAGGGGCUUCGCGGACAGCCACCGGGGCAGGCGCGGCCUUACAGCAAGCAUCACUUUUUCAGGACCACCCUCUCUGGCUUCGCAGUGGUUAGGCAACUGUUCCUCCCACAUGUUGGUGGCGGGGGUGCAGUGGUGAGGGAGCCGUCCAAAGGGAGUAGGCAGCUGGCAGGCUGUCCCGGGACCCUCAAGUGGUCCUGAUGCUGCAAUCUCUCUCCUGCCAAGUGCAGCGUGAAGAGUUCCUGCAAGCACGCCUGGGCGGAGGGAGGCAAUUAUUGGUUGGGGAUCCCUCAGGAAGGGGGCACUCCCCUCAGAGGCCGUAGAGACUGAUUUGACCCAAUGAGCAGACCAGUGGAAACCUCCCCCCACUGUUCCCACAAUUCAGAUUGGGCUGAUUUCCGGUUUCUGCUGGGGGACACUUGAUUUCUCAGGAUGUGUGUGUUUUCCCUGCUCUCCUCCUGCCCUGAGGAAUAGCUGCCCACCCCUCUUCACCCUCAGGCCCCCUUGAAAGGGAGGCCACCACAGUGAGCAUCCAGCAAAGAAAGAGGGUCCCCUGAGGCUUCCCUGAGAUCCAGGGGGAGCAAGAGGAGUGGAGGAGGACUCUGCUUGCCCACCAGAGGUGCCCACCCAAGCCAGGUUUCAGGAAGGAAGGCAUGAUCUCCGUGGCCCUUUGUUCAUCCACCAGUGGCCAACCUCAUGUGCAGAAGCCAGCAGCCAGGGUCUCAGCAAGACCCUGGAUCUCUGCCCUCCCCCCAAAAAAAAUUAAGGUGUAGGCGCUGUCCUUGGGAACCAGAGAUCUAGUCCAGUCAGCCCUGAUGCAAAUAGCUCCAACACCAGAGAGAGUAAGGCGAGGAGCGAUGCUGUCAUUUCAGCUGCUGAUUAUUGGGUGUCUGCACCACCUGGCCCUCAUUUCAGUGGUGAGUAUGGGGUUUUUUUCCUCAGGGGGGAAGUGAGUUGCUGACAAGUGAGGGUGGUCAUCAACAAAAACUAUAUCCUCAGCGUGGGAAGGGAUUAGCAAGAGGGCACAGGAUCCAUGAGGACCAAGCUGUCUGAGGAAAUCUAGGAGGGCUUUCCAGAGGUGGUGUUUAUUCGAGUAGCAACUAAGCCUAUGAAGAGGAGGCAGAAGGGGUGUAAGGUGAGGGAGCAGCAUGGCACCUGGAAAGACCUGAGGUGACAGGCAUAGGGACUCCCCAGAAGGGUGGAAGAACAGGGGGUGACUGCCGGGAAGAAAUGGCUGGUGCCAGAUGGGCCAGGCUGAGCAGCCUUUAGUGAGGGUUCCAGAAAUCAACCAGAGGGCAGUAGAGCCCUUUUGAAUUUUAAGCAGAAAAGACAUAUGAUCAUACUUGCAUUCUGAAAAGUCACUCUGGGAGAAGGGGGCAAAGAGGGGGUUAGUGGGUGUGACUAAGGAGACCAGGAGGGGGCCAAGGCAAAUGUUCAAUGAUAUAAAAUAUCAGGUCCCCUGAAAGUGCUGUUUGGCGGGUGCGCACCAAGCAUAAAGAUGGGGCAUGGGGUGACCCCAGAAGAUGAUUCCAUCUAUUGAAAAGUCUAGAUUAGGCAACUUUCUAGAGACAGAAAGUGGUCUAAGCCCAGGGCUGGGGCUGUUGGGGGACCGGGAGAGGUUGAAGGGUGGGCAGUUUCUUUUUGAAAAGAUGAAAUGUUCUAAAAUGGACUGAGGCUUCUCACUGGACUCGAAGCCAUUCUACUACACACUUCAAAUGGCUGCGCGCUGUCACAGUAAGCUGGGUUGUUUUUUUUAAAAAAAAAAAAAAGGGAAAGUUGAGGUUUGGCUGGCCCCAAGGAUGGGAAGCACGGCGGGGUAGUUGCAGGGGUCUCUGAGCUGGAGGGGAGCCCCUCUAACACCCUUCUCUGCCUAGGGUGGCGUCCCUGCGUGGCCGGCCGGAGCGCGGCGCCCUGUCUCCCAGCCUGAGGUGCAGUGCUGCAUCUCUGGUCAGCUGGGAGUCUGAGAUGAAGCACUGUAGCUCAGGAAGGGAGAAGACAUUCUGCGGCCGCAGGCAGCCUGGAAGCGGGAAGCAGCCGUGGUGCUUGAGGGCACCAGGAAGGACGGGGUGUUUCCAGUCUCCAGACCAUCAGCUGCUACUUCUAAGCAAGUUCCCAGACUUGAGUCCUACCCCUGCCACCAGGCACCCUGCCUCUGCUUUCUCCUUCUGAGCCCAUGGCGGGCACAGUAAUUCUAGGCGUAAAGUGUUCAGAUGCAGCUUCAGAAUCCUUCUCAACACUAAGUCCUGGAUAGCCACCGUUCAUGGUCGUGGUGUGUGGAUAGGACAAUUCCUAAAAUCCCUCUCAACCCUAAGGACAAAAGUCCUGGGCUUUGUUUUUUUUUAAAGAUUUGUUUAUUCAUGCAUACAAGAACCGGGGUACAGGCCAGAGGCGCGGGAGGGUGAGAGGAUUCACCAGAGACAGAGCGGGAAGCAGAACAGGCAGACUGAAAUACACUGCUGAGGGGAGCAGCGGGCGUGACAGGAGAGGUCUGCCGCGCCAUGUGGGUAGCUCCGAGGCCAGCCGGGAUUGAACCUGCACUGCAGAGGCUGCGGACAGCUUCACAGCAUUGCACUCAACCGCCUGCACCACCAGGGAGGCCCAGAAGUCCUGGGUUUUGAGUAGGGCUCUUGCUCUUUGGGCUCCUAACCUUGGUAAAUUCAUCCAGGCAUCUCACAAAUAUCUGGCCCCUCAGAGGCGUCAGAUAGGCAAGGAGCAGCAGAGGAGGAACAUAGGGCUAAGAACCACGUAAUUUACCUGCCACCAAGCUUGGGAGGUGGCCACUCUUAUUGACCCAUUUUACAGAUGGGAAAGAGGCUCAGAUAAUCAAGUCACCCAAGGACACACAUUGAUGGCAUUGACAUGGCAUAGUAACCUAAUCUGUCUGCUGCCAAUCCGUGUUCUUACCCACUGCACCUGAUUUUGGAAACUGGGGCUAGGGAGCAGGAGGAAAAUAUAAUAAAUCCUUCUCUGGUCUUGUCCUUACAUCUUGGGUCGCUUUUAGCCAAGACAGGCCCAGACACUUUCCUUUAAUCCUAUGGACUUUCCUCCUCCUGAGCACUUACUGCCUCACCCCUCGCACCCUUCAAGUUGUGUCUCUCUCACCUUAUCCAGUAGGUCACAUAUGGUCCCAUUUUGAAGGUUAAGUGACUUGGUGGAGGUCGCCAGCAAGGAAGUUGCCAAACAGAGACUGGGAACCAGAUCUAUCUAUCCAGAUGGUUUAGAGGAAAAUCCUCCCUUUGGCUGGGGACUCAGGAAUCCAGCCGACCAUGACUGUCCUGGGGAGGGGGUCCGGGAGGCCAGAUAGUUUCUGAUCAACAUCAUGACUUUUGAUUACGGAGAAGGUACUUUCCAGGGCACUUGAAGUUCCAGCCACUCCUCCAGGAGCAAUUAGCCACAUCCCAUGCUGACGUCCACAUAGGGGCCUGGAUGCAGGCCCCAGCUGGCUCUUAGGGCCAUGGCAGGCCUUGGUGCUGAAGGCCACACUCUCACCUUGUCCUCACGGUCCAGUUUUCCCAGGAAUCCCUUAGAUGCUAAGAUGGGGAUUCCUGGAAAUACUGUUCUUGAGGUCAUGGUUUAACAGCUGGACGCACCUCCCCCAUCCCAGAGCUGUCCCCGUGUGGCCUCAGCUCUAGCACGGGUGAGGGUCAAGCGGAAGACUGCGCACAGGAGGUAAGAGGGCUGCAGAUUGUGUUCUUGACCUUUAAGUUGCUUUUCUUUCCAUCUUGUCCAUUUCGUAAUGUCCCCGUGCGGCUGGAUGUGGGAACGUCACCAUUGUACUCUUGGGAUUUGUCCAGGCUCUCGGCUGAGCAGUGGUUUCACCAGGACACAGUACCCAUGAGUUUCUUCCUGUCUCCAUCCUGCCCUUACCCCAAGUUCCAGUCUGCUGUGUGGCAGGGGCCACAACAUCAUGUCCACGCUGUUAUUGAUAAACUAAGAAACCUCAGGAAUUUAUUUAAAAGUUUAUUAAAUCAGUUAGGUAAACUGAAAGCCAUGAAUCUUAGUCGGAUUUGGAAUGCAGCCACAGAAAAUGAAAUGUUUUUUUAAGGGGGAGAGGAUUUAAAAGUUCAGAGCGCCCUCUGGUGGCACCACCUGCUUUGACCCCCACCCCCUUUCAGGCACUUGAGCUGUCAUGCGCACAUAUGCACACACACACACACACACACACACACACACCCCGCUGAUUCCAUUUGAGUCUGUGCCCACUUCAGCCCUUUUCUCACCUGCUAGCGAUGGUGCCUCCAUAGUUGACAGUCUUUCACAGUCUGGUUUCAUCCUCAAAGCUUCCAAAAGGUCAGCCAGGUUGGUUUGAGGCUUGGGCAGGUGAAGUGACCAGCCCAAGGUCACUCGGGCAUCAAAAGGUAGAGCCAGAAUUGAUUCCAAGGUCAGGCUCCUAUGGCAGUUUCUUAGUCAAAGGCCAAAACUAAAAACAUAAAAACAAGACUCUUUCUGAAGAAUCCUAAGAUGUGAGAACUGGCUAUUGCUGAAGUUUGAAGUGGUCCAGGUACAAAACUGGAGCUUUUUGCAACACCUUCUCAGAGCUUUCAUGGAGAUGUAGACAGUCGGUGCCUGAACCCAAAAUCCCAGACACAAGGUCGUGCCCGCACAUGUUUCUGAUGGUCUUCCAAAGGCUACCUUGAAAAUAUUUAUGACGCUUGAAAUCAAAUAUGGAAACCAGAGCUGGCCUGACCAUGGAGAAAUUGGAUUUGCUAAUAGUGAUAGUAAUACAAUAAUAGCUCCCCAUCAGUGGCUGUUUUCGACUUGCCAGGCACUGUGCUAAACACUUUCAUAGACACUGCCUCAUUUAAUCCUCACAGCCGCCCAGUGAGGUAGGUUCUGUCAUUCACUGCAGUUACCAGAUGAGAGAGCCAAGGUUCAGAGAGGUUCAGAGACUUGCCUAAGGGCACACAGCUAAGAAGUUGUGAAGCUGGGACCAAAAUCAAGUCUGUGUUUAUGCUUUCAACCAUCACAUUGGGGAACCUGCCCUCGCCCCCUUCCUCCCUUUUGGCUUCGCCUAGCAGAGGGGACUUACUCCCUGUGGCUUCCCUGAGGAGCAGGUAUAACAAGCCUCAGUGAUUCCCCCUGUGCCCCUGUGUGCUGUGACUAUAAUAAAGUGCUGGAUCCUUCCUUGACUUGUGUCCUGUCUCUUCCUGGGAACGUGGGGAGAGUGGAGAGGAAGAGAAAGCAGGGAAAGAGCCUGAGCCUGAAUCCUUUCUUUUUAAAAAAAAAAAGAUGUAUUUAUUUAUGCAAGCACUGGGGUACAGGCCAGAGGUGCAGGAGGGUGAGAGGAUUCACCAGAGACAGAGCAGGGAGCAGAACAGGCAGACUGACGGAAGUACACUGCUGAGGGGAGCAGCAGGCAGGUCAGACAGGAAAGGUCUGCUGCACCAUGUGGGAAUCUCCCUGGCCAGCCGGGAAGCAACCCGGCGCUGCAGAGGCUGCGGACAGCUUCACGGCACUGCACUGCACCGCCGAGGAGGCCCCUGAGCCUGAAUCCUUUCACUAGGGCUGCCUGACAAAGUACCACAGAUGGAGCAACUAAAACAAUGUAUUUUCUCGUAGUCCUGGAGGCUGGAAGGCCAAGAUCAAGGUGUCAGCAGGGCUGGGUUCUUUUGAGGCCUCUAUCUGACUUGUGGAUGGCCAUCUUCUCCCUGUGCCUUCACUCCAUGUGAGCCUGUGUCCUAAUCUCCCUUUUUAUGAGGACACAGUCCCAUUGAUGGAAGGUCCACCCUAAUGACCUCAUUUUACCUUACUUACCUCUUGUAAAGACCUUCCCCCAAAUAUAGUCAAAAUCUGAGGUGGCCAAAGCUUAGGACUUCAGUGUGAAUUCAGGGAAACAAUUCAGCCCAUAACACAGCCCAACUGAGGUAAUCCUACUCCCCUUCCCCACCC
Molecule: long non-coding RNA, 8159 nt
Organism: Talpa occidentalis (Iberian mole)
Lineage: Eukaryota; Metazoa; Chordata; Mammalia; Eulipotyphla; Talpidae
Exons: 3
Source: RefSeq, a predicted model, not a curated record